GGGUUGUGAGGUUAAGCGACUAAGCGUACACGGUGGAUGCCCUGGCAGUCAGAGGCGAUGAAGGACGUGCUAAUCUGCGAUAAGCGCCGGUAAGGUGAUAUGAACCGUUAUAACCGGCGAUUUCCGAAUGGGGAAACCCAGUGUGACUCGUCACACUAUCAUUAACUGAAUCCAUAGGUUAAUGAGGCGAACCGGGGGAACUGAAACAUCUAAGUACCCCGAGGAAAAGAAAUCAACCGAGAUUCCCCCAGUAGCGGCGAGCGAACGGGGAGGAGCCCAGAGCCUGAAUCAGCAUGUGUGUUAGUGGAAGCGUCUGGAAAGGCGCGCGAUACAGGGUGACAGCCCCGUACACAAAAGCGCAUGUGCUGUGAGCUCGAUGAGUAGGGCGGGACACGUGGUAUCCUGUCUGAAUAUGGGGGGACCAUCCUCCAAGGCUAAAUACUCCUGACUGACCGAUAGUGAACCAGUACCGUGAGGGAAAGGCGAAAAGAACCCCGGCGAGGGGAGUGAAAAAGAACCUGAAACCGUGUACGUACAAGCAGUGGGAGCACCCUUUGGGGGUGUGACUGCGUACCUUUUGUAUAAUGGGUCAGCGACUUAUAUUCUGUAGCAAGGUUAACCGAAUAGGGGAGCCGGAGGGAAACCGAGUCUUAACCGGGCGUUAAGUUGCAGGGUAUAGACCCGAAACCCGGUGAUCUAGCCAUGGGCAGGUUGAAGGUUGGGUAACACUAACUGGAGGACCGAACCGACUAAUGUUGAAAAAUUAGCGGAUGACCUGUGGCUGGGGGUGAAAGGCCAAUCAAACCGGGAGAUAGCUGGUUCUCCCCGAAAGCUAUUUAGGUAGCGCCUCGUGAAUUCAUCUCCGGGGGUAGAGCACUGUUUCGGCUAGGGGGCCAUCCCGGCUUACCAACCCGAUGCAAACUGCGAAUACCGGAGAAUGUUAUCACGGGAGACACACGGCGGGUGCUAACGUCCGUCGUGAAGAGGGAAACAACCCAGACCGCCAGCUAAGGUCCCAAAGUCAUGGUUAAGUGGGAAACGAUGUGGGAAGGCCCAGACAGCCAGGAUGUUGGCUUAGAAGCAGCCAUCAUUUAAAGAAAGCGUAAUAGCUCACUGGUCGAGUCGGCCUGCGCGGAAGAUGUAACGGGGCUAAACCAUGCACCGAAGCUGCGGCAGCGACACUAUGUGUUGUUGGGUAGGGGAGCGUUCUGUAAGCCUGUGAAGGUGGCCUGUGAGGGUUGCUGGAGGUAUCAGAAGUGCGAAUGCUGACAUAAGUAACGAUAAAGCGGGUGAAAAGCCCGCUCGCCGGAAGACCAAGGGUUCCUGUCCAACGUUAAUCGGGGCAGG
This 1347-nucleotide ribosomal RNA is filed under the name Salmonella enterica subsp. enterica. Its description in RNAcentral is "bacterial LSU rRNA". It matches the Rfam family "Bacterial large subunit ribosomal RNA", at positions 1 to 1378 of the family's 2925-position model. The record is from RNAcentral. Lineage: Bacteria; Pseudomonadati; Pseudomonadota; Gammaproteobacteria; Enterobacterales; Enterobacteriaceae.